AAGGGAGACCUAAUUCGGGUAUAAGACGAAAAAAGAGUAGUCGAAACCAAGAAUCAAUCCCAAAAGGUCGGAACGAGGUAUGUGGCUUUCAAACUAGGUUCUGGGUUCACACAAGACCUGAAUCAGGAACAAGGGCUAUUAGCUCAGGUGGUUAGAGCGCACCCCUGAUAAGGGUGAGGUCCCUGGUUCGAGUCCAGGAUGGCCCACCUGCACAGGUGGCAAAAACAAGAGAAGCUCCGAAUCAGCACCUUAUCUUACUUACAUAUAAGAGAGAAUGCUGGCUCUGAGUAAAGAGUCCAGAGGAACCUUGAAAACUGCAUAGAGCUAGGUGAAAAAGCCAAAAAAGAAGACCGCAA
RNAcentral lists this transfer RNA (356 nucleotides) under Microcystis aeruginosa MP07B3. Its description in RNAcentral is "partial 16S-23S ribosomal RNA intergenic spacer". The stretch from base 133 to 206 matches the Rfam family "tRNA". Lineage: Bacteria; Bacillati; Cyanobacteriota; Cyanophyceae; Chroococcales; Microcystaceae. The record is from RNAcentral.